UUUUUUUUUUAACCCGCAGAAACCUCAUCGAAGAUAUUAGAAGAGGCACAUUCAACUCCUCCGAUUUGCAAGAAGUUUAUUUUAUGAACGACUCGGAUAUACAAAAACUUAUCAACGAUGCAAAAGAAAUUGAUGACAAGGCAAAGAAUGUUCAAAAUAAGAAUAGCAACAAUGAUAUAAGCAUGAGCAACAUAAGUAGCGUUAAUAAUAUAAACGCUAGUAGUAAUAUAAAUGCAAACAUAGCUAGCAUGAUGACACAAGUAGUGAAUAAAAGCAGCACAUGUGAUGCAAAAUUGGCAAACGUAAUGAACGACACGGGUAAUAUGAUAACAAACACAACUAACAACAACCUAAACACAAAUGUUUAUAACAUAAAUGUGAAUGAUAAAAUUAUUACUAGUGUUAUUGGUACUACAGACAAUAGUAAUAGCCAUUCAUUUAAUAAAGGUAUUAACAGUUGUAAUGCAAAUGAUAGUAAUAUUUUUAUAGCUGAUAACAAAAUUGAUAAAGUUUGUAUAAUUAGAUUUCCACCAAAUGUUGCAAAAGAAAUAAAAAAAUAUUUAUUAAAAAAAGAAUUAGAUUUAAAAAUUGAAUUAACUAAUUUAUUAAAUUGUCGUUUUUAUAUUAUCCAUUUCAAAAAUAUUAAUAAAAAAUAUUAUGGUAUUUUACUUGAACUUUAUACUCAUAUAGAAAUACACAAAACGUUAGAUAAAAAUAAUUUAUAUAAAACUAAUGACGUGUCACAAAUUAUUUAUGUAUAUGAUCCUAAUGAUAAAUAUAAUAAAAAAAUAGUUCAAAAUUUUAUUCAUAACAAUUUUCAGUUUUACAGUGCAAUAAAUAACAAAGCAAACAAUUUUUCAUUUCAAAAUCAUGUUACUUUAUACAAUUACCAUGACAUUUAUUUUACCGAAAUGCUUGUUAAUAAUUAUUUGAAUUACAAUUUUUAUGACUAUUAUGAUAUAACUGUUAAAACGUAUAAUGAAAUGUACACACAUAUAAAAAAUGAAAAACAAAAAGAAAAUACACAAAACGAAAUAGUCGAUAAUGGUACCAAUAUAGCUGACAUUUUAAAUUCGCUUGACAAUACAUAUACUCUUAUGCAACAAAUAGAAAAAGAAAAUGGGUUUAUGGAUUUUGAAACAUUAUUAAAUUAUGAAAUUGACAAUGAAAAUUAUGAGUCUGACGUGUCAGAUUUGUUGUUAGGAGGCCCUUACUAUUUGAGUAAGAAGCAGCAAUGAAAGAGUAAGUGGGUCUCGUCAUGUUUUA
Molecule: long non-coding RNA, 1266 nt
Filed under: Piliocolobus tephrosceles (Ugandan red Colobus)
Lineage: Eukaryota; Metazoa; Chordata; Mammalia; Primates; Cercopithecidae
Description: lncRNA (ENSPTEG00000012261.1)
Source: RNAcentral